AUUGAACGCUGGCGGCGUGCCUAACACAUGCAAGUCGAGCGGUAACAGGUGUAGCAAUACAUGCUGACGAGCGGCGAACGGGUGAGUAAUGCUUCGGAAUCUACCCAAUGGUGGGGAAUAACCAGCCGAAAGGUUGGCUAAUACCGCAUACGUCCCACGGGAGAAAGCAGGGGAUCGCAAGACCUUGCGCCAAUGGAUGAGCCGAAGUCGGAUUAGCUAGUUGGAGGGUAACGGCCUACCAAGGCGACGAUCCGUAGCUGGUCUGAGAGGACGACCAACCACACUGGGACUGAGACACGGCCCAGACUCCUACGGGAGGCAGCAGUGGGGAAUAUUGGACAAUGGGGGAAACCCUGAUCCAGCGACGCCGCGUGUGUGAAGAAGGCCUGCGGGUUGUAAAGCACUUUUAGUGGGGAUGAAAUGUUCAGGGUUAACACCUCUGGAUUUUGACCUAACCCACAGAAAAGCACCGGCUAACUCUGUGCCACGCCGCCG
Molecule: ribosomal RNA, 495 nt
Filed under: uncultured bacterium
Lineage: Bacteria
Description: bacterial SSU rRNA
Rfam family: Bacterial small subunit ribosomal RNA
Source: RNAcentral